This 525-nucleotide ribosomal RNA is filed under the name uncultured bacterium. Its description in RNAcentral is "bacterial SSU rRNA". It matches the Rfam family "Bacterial small subunit ribosomal RNA", at positions 21 to 518 of the family's 1533-position model. The record is from RNAcentral.
GGCUCAGGACGAACGCUGGCGGCGUGCCUAAUACAUGCAAGUCGAACGGUCUUUCUAUGGAAGCUUGCUUCCACUGGGAAGAUAGUGGCGGACGGGUGAGUAACACGUGGGUAACCUGCCCAUAAGAGGGGGGAUAACAUCCGGAAACGGGUGCUAAUACCGCAUAGUUUUCUUGAUCGCAUGGUCGAGAAAGGAAAGACAGCCUUUGUGCUGUCGCUUAUGGAUGGACCCGCGGCGUAUUAGUUAGUUGGUGAGGUAACGGCUCACCAAGACGAUGAUACGUAGCCGACCUGAGAGGGUGAUCGGCCACAUUGGGACUGAGACACGGCCCAAACUCCUACGGGAGGCAGCAGUAGGGAAUCUUCCGCAAUGGACGAAAGUCUGACGGAGCAACGCCGCGUGAGUGAAGAAAGGUUUUCGGAUCGUAAAACUCUGUUGUCAGAGAAGAACAAGUCGGAGAGUAACUGCUCCGGCCUUGACGGUAUCUGACCAGAAAGCCACGGCUAACUACGUGCCAGCCGCUGC